CUCGCACUGUAUCUUUAAAAGAGAAGGGCCGACAACUUAACAGCAAAAACUUUGUUCGAGACAGGCCUGCUCAAGACAUCUCGGCCUGCUGUCCUGACAUGGAGAGGUGCAUUAAGCCAUUAAAGUCUCCCACUGUUCAGUUUUUGAUGUCGGCAUGUGUGAGAUGUGUCACUCCAUCUAUGAUUGAUGUCUCCCCCUAGGACUUGACUCAUCUUUCACCUGCAGCCUGCCUCACAGCUGUUCAGUGAGCUCAGCACAGACCCACAUGCAUGAACACACAGCUCUGCACACCAUAAUAUAAGCUCCUCAGAUGCUUUGUGGGUUUUGGAGAGUCCGAGGGCUGAUGUAUCACAUGGCUCUGUCUCCUCAUGAAUCAUCUCGCACCCAGUGUCGUUCUCUCUGUUGAGUUUCUUCCUCUGCGUAGUCGUUCUACUUCUUUAUGGAUUGGGAGGAGAUUCAGGAGUGACAGAUCCAUCCAGAUGCUUGCUUUGCUUCCUUUUUGCCUCUUUGUAUGAGAAUCAAUGCUUUUAUUCAAUGUAUGUCCCACCCUUUAUUGCCAUUCCCAAGAGCACAGAAAUAAA
Eleginops maclovinus (Patagonian blennie) is the source of this 581-nucleotide long non-coding RNA. RefSeq lists it as uncharacterized. The record is from RefSeq and is a predicted model, not a curated record. The transcript is spliced from 3 exons. NCBI's taxonomy places the organism in Eukaryota, Metazoa, Chordata, Actinopteri, Perciformes, Eleginopidae.